GUAGGUGGCAAGCGUUGUCCGGAAUUAUGGGCGUAAAGCGCGCGCAGGCGGGGUUCGUUUAAGUCUGAUGUGAAAGCCCACGGGCUCAACCGUGGAGGGUCAUUGGAAACUGGAGAACUUGAGUACAGAAGAGGAAAGCGGAAUUCCACGUGUAGCGGUGAAAUGCGUAGAGAUGUGGAGGAACACCAGUGGCGAAGGCGGCUUUCUGGUCUGUAACUGACGCUGAGGCGCGAAAGCGUGGGGAGCAAACAGGAUUAGAUACCCUGGUAGUCCACGCCGUAAACGAUGAGUGCUAAGUGUUAGGGGGGUUUCCGCCCCUUAGUGCUGCAGCUAACGCAUUAAGCACUCCGCCUGGGGAGUACGGCCGCAAGGCUG
Molecule: ribosomal RNA, 375 nt
Filed under: uncultured organism
Description: partial 16S ribosomal RNA
Rfam family: Bacterial small subunit ribosomal RNA
Source: RNAcentral